This is a long non-coding RNA of Saccoglossus kowalevskii, 404 nucleotides long. The record is from RefSeq and is a predicted model, not a curated record. NCBI's taxonomy places the organism in Eukaryota, Metazoa, Hemichordata, Enteropneusta, Harrimaniidae.
CAUUUUUUUGGUGACAGUCAAUAUAUAUGCGACUGUGAAGACGGGUGGAGUAACGUUAAUUGUGACACUGAGAUUGACGAGUGUAACAGCGAUCCUUGCCAGAAUGGCGCCACCUGCGUCGACUCUCUGAACAGUUACAAUUGCUUAUGUGCAGAUGGCUUCACUGGUGAACCAGUGCGAACAACAAGUGACGACUACAGCGGGAUUAAAAACUUCCAGUUCUACGCCGUUGUCAACGACCGAAUUUCCACCGACAGUAGUAUUACAAACCACUAAAGAUAUUGUUACUACUGUCACUACCAAUACAAUGGUCGAUACAACGGUAGCAGCUGAGACUUCUUCAAUAGUGUCAUCAGAAAUCACGACACAGGGACACAGCAGUCAAUAAAAGAAACAACAAAUAU